GGGACAUUCAGUCGGGAGGCCGCGGACGCGCGUUGCGGAGUGACCGGAAUGGUUCCCAGGACUUGGGGCCGUCCGCGACGUGCGCUUUCGUGCCACCCGACGCAUUUGUCUCCCGUCCGAUGGACGCCGCGACCGGUUGGAUGACGGCCUUAAGGGCGGACGAUGGCAGGUGGCCGGUGGAUGAUCAGUGCCACCCCUCUCGGGGGGCGUGUGCUUUUCCGUCCGCCGGUUGUUAGCCGGUUUCCGUCGCACGGCCCGUGGUCCGACCGUGGUGUCGCGAGACCCCUAGUGGGACUCUUCGCCUCCUCCUCUGCGGGAUGCCCGGAAUUGGCGGCACGGGUCUUCUCCCCACCUGCGGGCGCACGGACUGACUCCGUGGCCCAGCUGUGCGGGAGUCCCGGUUGGUAGCCCUCUUUUACCGGUUGGAGUGUUGUGCGGUCGGCGGCGAGUAGAUCGGUCACCCACCCGGCCCGUCUUGAAACACGGACCAAGGAGUCUAACAUGUGUGCGAGUCAAUGGGACUUGUACAGGCCCAGGGGCGCAAUGAAAGCGAAGGCCGGAACUGACUUCCGGCUGUGUUGCGAUCCUCCCUUGUGCAGGGGGAGGCGCACCAACGGCCCGUCCCGUCCGAUUCAUCGGAGGGGCGGAGUCUGAGCAUACACGUUGGGACCCGAAAGGUGGUGAACUAUGCCCGGGCAGGACGAAGCCAGAGG
RNAcentral lists this ribosomal RNA (713 nucleotides) under Typhlonesticus idriacus. Its description in RNAcentral is "partial large subunit ribosomal RNA". The stretch from base 487 to 713 matches the Rfam family "Eukaryotic large subunit ribosomal RNA", at positions 665 to 858 of the family's 3401-position model. Lineage: Eukaryota; Metazoa; Arthropoda; Arachnida; Araneae; Nesticidae. The record is from RNAcentral.